Molecule: non-coding RNA, 104 nt
Organism: Canis lupus familiaris (dog)
Lineage: Eukaryota; Metazoa; Chordata; Mammalia; Carnivora; Canidae
Source: Rfam
AGGAGGAACAGCCCCAUUGGCGGGGCAGCUCUGGAAACCUGGAUUCAGCUCCGGCAGGAACUCCGGAGCUCUCCGUCUGCAGGGCCUGGAGGCUCCGGGGCGGG